UACGAAGGGGGCUAGCGUUGUUCGGAAUUACUGGGCGUAAAGCGCACGUAGGCGGACUAUUAAGUCAGGGGUGAAAUCCCGGGGCUCAACCCCGGAACUGCCUUUGAUACUGGUAGUCUCGAGUCCGGAAGAGGUGAGUGGAAUUCCGAGUGUAGAGGUGAAAUUCGUAGAUAUUCGGAGGAACACCAGUGGCGAAGGCGGCUCUCUGGGACGGUACUGACGCUGAGACGCGAAAGCGUGGGGAGCAAACAGG
Molecule: ribosomal RNA, 253 nt
Filed under: uncultured bacterium
Lineage: Bacteria
Description: partial 16S ribosomal RNA
Rfam family: Bacterial small subunit ribosomal RNA
Source: RNAcentral